AUGCACUUGGCCGUGCAAGACAGCAAUGAUUGGACAAUGUCGAUUUCAAGAGGGCUUGACUAUUUUGUUGUUUAUCAUAAUCUGUGGCAGCGAGCGUGGUUGCGUGUGUACGUGAAGAAAAGAAUGCCGGUGUUUCAGUUCAUCGCAGGAGGUUGCAGGCCAAGAAACUUGUUUUCCAUUAUUGUACUACUACAUUUGGUGUUAACUUGGGCUGUGUCGUGGCGGUUGAGAAAUGUGUUCUGCAGGUCCUUGAGGGCAUUAGGGCAGGUACAACGGUGUCCAGUCAGCUGUCUGGAAGGGGUGACAGCUAGGAUUUUAGAUGAUGUGGAGGAGAGAGAACAAAGAAAGAGAAACAACCCGUCUGUAGAAUAA
Molecule: ribosomal RNA, 372 nt
Filed under: Triticum aestivum (bread wheat)
Lineage: Eukaryota; Viridiplantae; Streptophyta; Magnoliopsida; Poales; Poaceae
Description: partial small subunit ribosomal RNA
Source: RNAcentral